UUGUGCUGGACGGGGGAGGUUGCGGUCCCUUGUAACCCGAACGUUCUGCGGGGUUAACGACCGUCGGAGGUCGGCGAGAGGUCUUGGUUGCGUUGGUCUUGCCUGCGUAGAAACCUGGAUCCUCUGCAAGUGGGAGUGGGUGAAUCGAGUCAGGUCGGAAACGAAGCAGCUAUAAGCUUCACGCCUGCUGUGCAGAGGGGAAUCUAGGCGGAGUUGGCAAUCCGCCGCGCCAAGCGUUUCGCCGUUCGAAGGCGGGUGCACAA
This 263-nucleotide signal recognition particle RNA is filed under the name Planctomycetota bacterium. RNAcentral's name for it is "Planctomycetes bacterium (activated sludge metagenome) signal recognition particle sRNA large type". It matches the Rfam family "Bacterial large signal recognition particle RNA". From Rfam's summary of the family: The signal recognition particle (SRP) is a universally conserved ribonucleoprotein involved in the co-translational targeting of proteins to membranes. Lineage: Bacteria; Pseudomonadati; Planctomycetota. The record is from RNAcentral.